GAUGUUGCAUGUGGGAGGGUUGGAGCUGCAUAUUUCAGAUUCAAGCAUCUGGCCGACAAGCUAAAGAAGUCAGUGGAGGAUGAAAUUCAUUUUCUCAAGGGAAGGGUUUCAGAACUUGAAAGUGAUCUUGUGUCGAAGUCCACAAAAGUUACAUAUGCAGUUUCAAGGGAAGAAGAAGCUCUAUCUUCUGCAUUUGCUGAAAUUGACCAUCUGAAGGAAGAAAAUUCUGUAAAAACAUGAGCAUUAUUGAAUGUGUAUGGAGGGUGUUUAUUGUGUUGGAGUGUAUUUAUUUCUUGCACAUGAGGGCACGCCUUAGUUGUAAUUCUUAUGAUAGGUUAAGCAAAGUGAAGUAUUGUUUAUUUAGAAAUGUGAAUGUAGGAUGCAUUGUAUGAUUUGAUUACUAUUUAUAAUAAAUGCAUCAUUUUUUUUCUGAUUGCA
Molecule: long non-coding RNA, 438 nt
Organism: Magnolia sinica
Lineage: Eukaryota; Viridiplantae; Streptophyta; Magnoliopsida; Magnoliales; Magnoliaceae
Exons: 2
Source: RefSeq, a predicted model, not a curated record